UACAGAGGUGGCAAGCGUUGUUCGGAAUUACUGGGCGUAAAGGGCGCGUAGGCGGCCUUCUAAGUCAGACGUGAAAUCCCCCGGCUUAACCGUGGAACUGCUUGGUAUACUGGCUGUCUUGAGCCACUUAGGGGCAACCGGAACAAACGGUGGAGCGGUGAAAUGCGUAGAUAUCGUUUGGAACGCCAAUGGUGAAAACAGGUUGCUGGGAGUGUGCUGACGCUGAGACACGAAAGCCAGGGGAGCAAACGGG
Molecule: ribosomal RNA, 253 nt
Filed under: uncultured bacterium
Lineage: Bacteria
Description: partial 16S ribosomal RNA
Rfam family: Bacterial small subunit ribosomal RNA
Source: RNAcentral